CACUAGAAUAAUAAGGUUUAAAAUUGGAACGACAUAAGUUGGAUAAAAAAGAAUAGCUAAUGGACCGGUGGAUACCAUGCUGGUUCUCUUGGUUUGUUCUUAUUUUUACGCCUGAUGGUGCUGUAAUUAUUCAUUUAUCAAGCGCAUAGAAUUUUUCCUUUUUCAUCAUAAGUCCCGAUGGCUCUUGCGAUAGGCAACCGAAUUUUAACAUCCUUGUCCGGUUUCCAACGCCGCCUUGCGAGCGAUGGCAAAGAGGAUGUAUAAAAAGGCAGCUAUUAGAGGGAAAUGUAAAAGUAACUCGUGCAAUCCCGCAAAAGCAACAACCGAAACGGCUCGUGUGAGGUCAAAAUAUUGUCAACUGUUAACAAGAAUGGAUACAUAUAAAAUUAUUCUGCUUCUUAGCGCAUAAAUUGGUGCACUCUAAUACACUCGAGAUGAAUUCUAAUACUUUCUGAAGUCUACGGUUCUCAAGGCGUCAAAUACGCUAACGCCAUAGUGGAAAUGGAGGAUACCGUUAAUGUAAAUACAAAAUCUUAAAGGACACAAUUGUAAAUUUUGCAUCCACUUUGUCCUCCUCCUUACGAUUUCGGAAUUUAAACAGCAGUCAAUAUUACAAUUUUGACUCCUUUGCCUUUUUUUUUCUUCACAUGAUUGCAAAGUUGACAGAGAACUUCCAUCGAGCGUCCAAUACUUUCUUCUUUCUUUCAUGCAAUAACUGUAACGACGCCUAAACCGCUGCCUUUUUCAGUUUUAUUUUUUUUAAUUUUUUUUUUGUAAUACCUAAGGUUCCAUCAAGGUUUCAACAUUUUUUAGCAAUUAAUUUAUUAUUUAUUAUUUUUUUUUACCAAAAGCCACCGACCGAUAGAAGUAAAUUCGCUGGGACAGAAAGUACAUUCGCUUUACUUGAGAUUAAGAAUGCUAUUACGUUUACUGAGCUGUAGUUUUUCGAGGAGCUCUGUCGCACCGUACCAUAGUAGACCCUGACGAUUGCCUGCUACCGGAGGCUAUUCAUGAUGUUUUUGAACAAACUCUUCAAGCUGAUUUUUUUCUAGGGGAAUGUGCAGUACUUCAGUUCCAUCUGGGGUUCGUCGUAUUCGCAACAGCUUGUGAUCUUUGAAUUCUGUCAAUUGGGCACGCAACGUCAAAUCGGAAUUGACCAACAUUCGAUCUCUACAUUCGCUGUAGAGUUCAUGGAACGGAAAUCCUGCAACAAACAACACGUUUUUUUAUUCAUAUUACCAAAAGACGUUAGAAAAUAAAGGAAUACCAUGAUAA
Molecule: long non-coding RNA, 1275 nt
Organism: Daphnia magna
Lineage: Eukaryota; Metazoa; Arthropoda; Branchiopoda; Diplostraca; Daphniidae
Exons: 5
Source: RefSeq, a predicted model, not a curated record